CUGAGGUUAGGAAAAGGUCUGAAGCUUGAACUAUGGAGAUAAGUGGCUCAAGGAUUUGGUGGAACACAUUUUGCAGACUCAUCUUAAAAAUAUAGUUGAUAAAAUUUCUAAGUAAAGACCAAAGAUAAAGGGUAUUGUUAUAAUGGAUAUCUGACAAUUAGUUUCAAGACUCUGAUGCCCAGUGUGGGCAAUGCCAGCUACUUCAGGUAAACGUUCCUGACCAUCUUGGUUCUCGCUCUAAGAACUCAGCCCCUGGCACGGCUCUCCUGGCUGACCUCCUGUCUGGAUCUGUCCUUUCUCUGACCAGAGAGAAUCGGAUGUAAGAGAAGCACAUUUACUACUAUGGCAGCACGAAAAGUCAAGUGGCUAUAUUCCAGUUACUACGCUUGGGAAAUCUGGCACUCAGAAAAACGCCAGACUCCACAGGAAAGGGAACUGAUUACGUUACACACUGUGAAGACGGGGUCAUUCACUAGGAGGACACGGAGCAAGGCAGAAGCUAAGCUGGAGAGCCUACUGGCAGAAGUAGAGUCUGGAGAGCCACUGGAUCAAUCCCAAAGCCAGAACGAGUAACUGUUUCUAUUUAAAUCUGAUGAAAGAUGAUGAGGUAAUCAGGAAAGAUUGAUGGGAAAAUGGCUUCAAGAAGAACAACAUGCAAAGAAAGGAAGGAGUCUAACAUUCAGAUGGAUUUCUCUAAAAAUGAUUGGACUGGAGCUUGAAAUUACAACAGAAAAGAGUUACCUUCAACUGAGAUCCACUGUGAUAUCAUUCCCCUACAACUCUCAGCAAAGGAUCUCACAAGAAACAGGUCUAUGAAGGCAGAUGAUACAUUUGUUUGAAGAGGUUGCUGAGGAAUUCCCCACUAGAUCUACUACACUACUCAGUGAUCUUAGCUGAACCAGCUCCUUGAGAGAUCCGUCCUGUGCUAACACAGUCCAGAAGCAAUACCGGCCCCCCGUAACUUGACCCGCUGAGCGGAAGAUGAAGCGGAACUCCGGCCUCGGAGGAGCUGCCGUCAAAGUGAAGCCCCAGCUCGUGCACAGAAGGCAAUCCUUGGCUCCUCUCAGAGAGCCCCCCCCCCCCCCCCCCC
Molecule: long non-coding RNA, 1090 nt
Organism: Suricata suricatta (meerkat)
Lineage: Eukaryota; Metazoa; Chordata; Mammalia; Carnivora; Herpestidae
Exons: 7
Source: RefSeq, a predicted model, not a curated record